RNAcentral lists this small RNA (158 nucleotides) under Sinorhizobium medicae. RNAcentral describes it as "Atu_L1". It matches the Rfam family "Rhizobiales sRNA Atu_L1". Lineage: Bacteria; Pseudomonadati; Pseudomonadota; Alphaproteobacteria; Hyphomicrobiales; Rhizobiaceae. The record is from RNAcentral.
CCUGCAUGAGGACGGCACAGAUCAAGGUCUGGAUCGCCGUCGAGGCGAGCGAACCGUUUAGAUAAUAGGUUGCAACGGCAAAUGCCGCCAAGGCGCCGAUCAUGCUUACAAAAACACGCGGUGCAAACAUGGCGCUACCCUGCCUUCGGGUCUGCGAU